ACCAGAAUGGCCGAGGUGGUUAAGGCAUUGGACUUAAGAUCUAAGGGGCAAAUGCCCGCGUGGUUCAAAUCACGCUUCUGGUA
Molecule: non-coding RNA, 83 nt
Organism: Polypterus senegalus (gray bichir)
Lineage: Eukaryota; Metazoa; Chordata; Cladistia; Polypteriformes; Polypteridae
Source: the annotation of a RefSeq genome assembly